CUGUGGUGAUGAAUUUUGAAUUCCAAAAUUUUACUUGUGGAUUACAAAUGGAGCUUUUUAACACUGAACAGU
This is a small nucleolar RNA of Protopterus annectens (West African lungfish), 72 nucleotides long. Lineage: Eukaryota; Metazoa; Chordata; Ceratodontiformes; Protopteridae. The record is from RefSeq and is a predicted model, not a curated record.